Armigeres subalbatus is the source of this 736-nucleotide long non-coding RNA. RefSeq lists it as uncharacterized. Lineage: Eukaryota; Metazoa; Arthropoda; Insecta; Diptera; Culicidae. The record is from RefSeq and is a predicted model, not a curated record. The transcript is spliced from 3 exons.
GCAGUAUAUUUGCUAGUUUGUUUGGGUAAAUAUUUUAAAAUAUUACGAAAUAUACUAUUAAGCGCGGUACCCUGUCAUGAAUGGCCAAGGCUUAAACAAAAGCCAACAGGUUUUAGGAGCUGUUCCAUUAUGUGGUGAUUCCCAAGACAAGGAUUGCCAAAAUCGCUGAAGAACUUUCAUGAGGAUUAAUAGUAUCAGAAUAGUACUGCGGUAAACAUUUGAUGCUGCUCAUGAUGAAGGGGAACAACGAUAUGCUGCUGUACUUCAGCCAGACUCAUCCGAACAACGUUACAGGAAAAUCAGACUUUGGACGUGAUUACAAUGCCGCAGUACGAGGAUGGUAUUGGUUUGGUCCGCGUUAAUAUAUGGAUUGUGUCGUGCUUGGGUACAUCGAGGAUGUAAAAUUGGUACUGCCAGUGCACAGUCUGCAGGAUGCCAGCAUCAAAUUCACACUCCCCUGGCGAUUCCGUAGCUGCGACGAUCGGAAAUACAUAGCUAGAGAUGGUUGGCACAAAGCCAUCGAUUUGGUUGACUGGUUCCAAAGGCGGCCUCCGUGGGAGAACCCACGAAUAAAACGCGUUCUUCCUUUAAUUGCGGAAUAUUUUCGUCCAAUUGGUUCCUCGGUGCGACCCGAAGAUUUGCGAGCAAAACAAAGCAAAGUUGCUGUUCUAAAUAUGUCUUGUUAUGUAUAUGAUUUAUCUUCAUCAGGAAAUAAUAAAUAAAAUAAAGAGUUAUU